RNAcentral lists this ribosomal RNA (254 nucleotides) under uncultured bacterium. RNAcentral's name for it is "partial 16S ribosomal RNA". It matches the Rfam family "Bacterial small subunit ribosomal RNA", at positions 524 to 777 of the family's 1533-position model. The record is from RNAcentral.
UACGUAGGGUGCAAGCGUUAUCCGGAAUUAUUGGGCGUAAAGAGCGUGUAGGCGGCUCGAUAAGUCUGCUGUGAAAGUCCAGGGCUCAACCCUGGAAGGCCGGUGGAAACUGUCGGGCUAGAGUCCGGAAGAGGCGAGUGGAAUUCCCGGUGUAGCGGUGAAAUGCGCAGAUACCGGGAGGAACACCAAUGGCGAAGGCAGCUCGCUGGGACGGUACUGACGCUGAGACGCGAAAGCGUGGGGAGCAAACAGGG